Molecule: ribosomal RNA, 342 nt
Filed under: uncultured Alphaproteobacteria bacterium
Lineage: Bacteria; Pseudomonadati; Pseudomonadota; Alphaproteobacteria
Description: bacterial SSU rRNA
Rfam family: Bacterial small subunit ribosomal RNA
Source: RNAcentral
CGCUGGCGGCAGGCCUAACACAUGCAAGUCGAGCGGAUCCUUCGGGAUUAGUGGCGGACGGGUGAGUAACACGUGGGAACGUGCCUUGUGGUUCGGAACAACUCAGGGAAACUUGAGCUAAUACCGGAUGUGCCCUUCGGGGGAAAGAUUUAUCGCCAUUAGAGCGGCCCGCGUCUGAUUAGCUAGUUGGUGAGGUAAAGGCUCACCAAGGCAACGAUCAGUAGCUGGUCUGAGAGGAUGAUCAGCCACAUUGGCACUGAGACACGGCCCAAUCUCCUACGGGAGGCAGCAGUGGGGAAUCUUGCGCAAUGGGCGAAAGCCUGACGCAGACAUGCCGCGUGA